UCGAGAGUAUUUAGCAAUGGGCGAAAGCCUGACUAUGCGACGCCGCGUGAAGGAUGAAGGUCUUCGGAUUGUAAACUUCUUUUGUCAGGGGAGAAACCUCUUAUUCUAACAGGAUAAGAGCUGACGGUACCUGAUGAAUAAGCCACGGCCAACUCCGUGCCAGCAGCCGCGGUAAUACGGAGGUGGCAAGCGUUACUCGGAAUCAUUGGGUGUAAAGGGCAAGUAGGCGGUUUGAUAAGUGAGGGGUGAAAUCUUUCGACUCAAUCGGGAGACUGCCUUUCAAACUGUCAAACUUGAAGCAGGAAGAGGGAAAUGGAAUUCACGGUGUAAGGGUGAAAUCUGUAGAUAUCGUGAAGAACACCAGCUGCGAAGGCGAUUUCCUGGUCCUGUCUUGACGCUGAAUUGCGAAAGCUAGGGGAGCAAACA
RNAcentral lists this ribosomal RNA (426 nucleotides) under uncultured prokaryote. Its description in RNAcentral is "bacterial SSU rRNA". It matches the Rfam family "Bacterial small subunit ribosomal RNA", at positions 355 to 774 of the family's 1533-position model. The record is from RNAcentral.